RNAcentral lists this ribosomal RNA (252 nucleotides) under uncultured bacterium. Its description in RNAcentral is "partial 16S ribosomal RNA". It matches the Rfam family "Bacterial small subunit ribosomal RNA", at positions 524 to 776 of the family's 1533-position model. The record is from RNAcentral.
UACGGGGGGGCAAGCGUUGUUCGGAAUUACUGGGCGUAAAGGGCUCGUAGGUGGCCAACUAAGUCAGACGUGAAAUCCCUCGGCUUAACCGGGGAACUGCGUCUGAUACUGGAUGGCUUGAGUUCGGGAGAGGGAUGCGGAAUUCCAGGUGUAGCGGUGAAAUGCGUAGAUAUCUGGAGGAACACCGGUGGCGAAGGCGGCAUCCUGGACCGGCAUUGACGCUGAGGCGCGAAAGCCAGGGGAGCAAACGGG